RNAcentral lists this ribosomal RNA (497 nucleotides) under uncultured bacterium. RNAcentral describes it as "partial 16S ribosomal RNA". It matches the Rfam family "Bacterial small subunit ribosomal RNA", at positions 28 to 507 of the family's 1533-position model. The record is from RNAcentral.
GAUGAACGCUGGCGGUGUGCCUAAAACAUGCAAGUCGAGCGAACAGACGAGGAGCUCGCUCCUCUGAUGCUAGCGACUGACGGGCGAGUAACACGUGGAUAAGCCACCUAUAAGACUUGGGUAACUUCGUGAAACCGGAGCUAAUACUGGAUCAUAUAUCUAACGGCAUGGUUCAAUAGCGCAACACGGUUUUCGUGUAUCUAACAGAUGAAUCCGCGUCGCAUUAGCUGGUUGGUAAGGUAACGGCUUACCAAGGCAACGAUGCGUAGCCGACCUGAGAGGCUCAUCCGCCACACUGGAACUGAGACACGCUCCAGCCUCCCAAGGGAGCCAGCAGUAGGGAAUCAUGCGCCAUGGGCGAAAGCCUGAGCAAGCAACACGGCGUGGGUGCUGAAGGUCUUCGGGUCGUAAAACGCUGUUGUUGGGGAAGAAUAGCUGACUCUUUAUCUACCCCUGUAUUGACGGUACCAGCUCAGUAAGCAACGGCUCACUGCGUG